AGUGAACGCUGGCGGCAGGCUUAACACAUGCAAGUCGAGCGAGAAAGUGGCUUCGGUCAUGAGUAAAGCGGCAAACGGGUGAGUAACGCGUGGGGAUUUCCCUUCUAGUCUUGGAUAGCCCCGGGAAACUGGGAUUAAUACAAGGUAUUAUCUACGGAUGAAAGAUUUAUCGCUAGAAGAUAAGCCCGCGUGAGAUUAGCUAGUUGGUGAGGUAAUGGCUCACCAAGGCAACGAUCUCUAGUUGGUCUGAGAGGAUGAUCAACCACACUGGAACUGAGACACGGUCCAGACUCCUACGGGAGGCAGCGGUGAGGAAUAUUGGACAAUGGGGGAAACCCUGAUCCAGCCAUGCCGCGUGAGUGAUGAAGGCCUUCGGGUUGUAAAACUCUUUAAGUGGGGAAAAUAAUGAUUGUACCCACAGAAUAAGCCACGGCAAACUUCGUGCCAGCCGCCGCGGUAA
RNAcentral lists this ribosomal RNA (460 nucleotides) under uncultured bacterium. RNAcentral's name for it is "partial 16S ribosomal RNA". It matches the Rfam family "Bacterial small subunit ribosomal RNA", at positions 29 to 523 of the family's 1533-position model. The record is from RNAcentral.